This 423-nucleotide long non-coding RNA is filed under the name Monodelphis domestica (gray short-tailed opossum). RNAcentral describes it as "lncRNA (ENSMODG00000044587.1)". Lineage: Eukaryota; Metazoa; Chordata; Mammalia; Didelphimorphia; Didelphidae. The record is from RNAcentral.
UCAGCUCCUGCCAGCAGCCAUUCAAUUGAGACUUCUUGAGCUCUUCCCUCCCACCGGCUCGACCACUUCCUGCCUGGAGCCCCGAUCCUGACCUCUCUCCGUCUUCACCUGUUGCUCUGGCUCCCGGUCCUGCGUUCCUGCCCCGACCCACCCCAGUGGGUCGCCCAGCUGGCCCAGCCGAUCCCAGUCCACCAAAACUGGCCUCCGACCCAGCCGGCUCAUCACCCAGAUCCUUGGAGCAGAUCGCUCGGGACUCAUUUCUACCAGCUGGUAACAGUAUUGGCCACGUGGGCGGAGAGGAGAGACAAGAGGGAAAGAAGAACAGUGAUCAUGGCCAGAUACGAAGAGGAAAUGGAUCUCAUUUUUGGAGGGGUGUGACAUUGCAGCCGGAGCUGGGACGAGGCUGAGGCCACACAGGAGGGA